UCAUUAUUUUUUAGUUCUUCAUUAUUAAUUAGCUAAAAAAAAUAACUUUUCCGUAUUUAGAAGGUUUGUGGGAGUUUAUCACCAUUUUUAACACCAUUUAUCCCACUGUGUUUGCAAACCGGUCAAAUGCAUCGCGUGCUGCGCCCAAUAUCCGGUCUGAAUAAUCUCGUUAAAAAAUAGUCUUUCCGAAAAUCACCAAAAAUCGGACUAUGAUAGCAAAUAGCUCACAGCUGUCCGCUAUAAUGGAGAAUAUACUCAAAAUCGGGACUUUAUCGCGUGAUUAAUAAUGCCACUUGUACAUGACUUCUAAUAAGAUAAUUAGAACUGUUCAGAUAGUAAUAGUUAGAUAUUAUAAAUACACAUAGUUAUGCGCAUUUCUCAUAGUAUGCAAAGUAAUUCUUGAUAAAUUAUUAAUACAAUAAAUUCAUAUUUACAUGAAUUAAUGACUUAACUAUACUACUUUAAAUUAUAAACACAUAUUAGACUUUUAAUAAUAUCAUAUAUAAAAGAUAUAUGUAAUACUUAAGUUCAUUCAGAGCGAUGUUGUACUUAAAUGCAAAAGUUAUUUAGGUCAAACUAACUAUAAUCAUACAUAUGUAUGUAUGUCCGAAUAAUAAUAUGAUAAUGAGGUUAACCAUAGUUAACUGUAAGACGCUAUUGAUUGCAAAGGCUACAUUAGGUAGUACGUAAUAUGCUACAAUUAAUACAUAUAUACAAAACAUAUACAUAUAUAUACAUCACAUAUUAUUAGAUAUAUAUAUGGACAUAUUAUAUACAUACAACAUAUAAAAGAAUAUGUUAUAUUGAUAUACUUAUAUAUAUAAGAAAGCUCGUUAUUUUCAUAUAGUGGAUUUGUACAUGGCCAGUGUGUACACUAAGUGAAAAAACUUUUAGCUAAAUAUGUUUAAAACUAUUAAGAUUCAUAAAAAUUUACAAGGAAUACGUUUAUGUCUAGAUCAAUUAUUUACAUAUUUGUUUACAUGUGCCACACUAAUUGGUCCCCCAAGGAUAUAGAUGUAUGUACAUGUCUUUAUAAAAAGUUCGUAUAUUCGAGCGCAUAUAUACAUACAUUUCAAAUGUGUACAAAUGUCUUGAUGGCUUAAAAAGAAUAAAUUAAAAUAGUUCGCCAUAGUAACAAAUCA
Molecule: long non-coding RNA, 1142 nt
Organism: Ceratitis capitata (Mediterranean fruit fly)
Lineage: Eukaryota; Metazoa; Arthropoda; Insecta; Diptera; Tephritidae
Exons: 2
Source: RefSeq, a predicted model, not a curated record